GACGAACGCUGGCGGCGUGCUUAACACAUGCAAGUCGAACGGAAAGGCCCUGCUUUUGUGGGGUGCUCGAGUGGCGAACGGGUGAGUAACACGUGAGUAACCUGCCCUUGACUUUGGGAUAACUUCAGGAAACUGGGGCUAAUACCGGAUAGGAGCUCCUGCUGCAUGGUGGGGGUUGGAAAGUUUCGGCGGUUGGGGAUGGACUCGCGGCUUAUCAGCUUGUUGGUGGGGUAGUGGCUUACCAAGGCUUUGACGGGUAGCCGGCCUGAGAGGGUGACCGGCCACAUUGGGACUGAGAUACGGCCCAGACUCCUACGGGAGGCAGCAGUGGGGAAUAUUGCACAAUGGGCGGAAGCCUGAUGCAGCAACGCCGCGUGCGGGAUGACGGCCUUCGGGUUGUAAACCGCUUUCGCCUGUGACGAAGCGUGAGUGACGGUAAUGGGUAAAGAAGCACCGGCUAACUACGUGCCAGCAGCCGCGGUGAUACGUAGGGUGCGAGCGUUGUCCGGAUUUAUUGGGCGUAAAGGGCUCGUAGGUGGUUGAUCGCGUCGGAAGUGUAAUCUUGGGGCUUAACCCUGAGCGUGCUUUCGAUACGGGUUGACUUGAGGAAGGUAGGGGAGAAUGGAGUUCCUGGUGGAGCGGUGGAAUGCGCAGAUAUCAGGAGGAACACCAGUGGCGAAGGCGGUUCUCUGGGCCUUUCCUGACGCUGAGGAGCGAAAGCGUGGGGAGCGAACAGGCUUAGAUACCCUGGUAGUCCACGCUGUAAACGGUGGGUACUAGGUGUGGGGUCCAUUCCACGGGUUCCGUGCCGUAGCUAACGCUUUAAGUACCCCGCCUGGGGAGUACGGCCGCAAGGCUAAAACUCAAAGGAAUUGACGGGGCCCCGCACAAGCGGCGGAGCAUGCGGACUAAUUCGAUGCAACGCGUAGAACCUUACCUGGGUUUGACAUGGAUCGGGAGCGCUCAGAGAUGGGUGUGCCUCUUUUGGGGUCGGUUCACAGGUGGUGCAUGGCUGUCGUCAGCUCGUGUCGUGAGAUGUUGGGUUAAGUCCCGCAACGAGCGCAACCCUUGUUCACUGUUGCCAGCACGUUAUGGUGGGGACUCAGUGGAGACCGCCGGGGUCAACUCGGAGGAAGGUGGGGAUGACGUCAAGUCAUCAUGCCCCUUAUGUCCAGGGCUUCACGCAUGCUACAAUGGCUGGUACAGAGAGUGGCGAGCCUGUGAGGGUGAGCGAAUCUCGGAAAGCCGGUCUCAGUUCGGAUUGGGGUCUGCAACUCGACCUCAUGAAGUCGGAGUCGCUAGUAAUCGCAGAUCAGCAACGCUGCGGUGAAUACGUUCCCGGGGCU
RNAcentral lists this ribosomal RNA (1346 nucleotides) under uncultured bacterium. RNAcentral's name for it is "bacterial SSU rRNA". It matches the Rfam family "Bacterial small subunit ribosomal RNA", at positions 28 to 1381 of the family's 1533-position model. The record is from RNAcentral.